Molecule: ribosomal RNA, 388 nt
Filed under: Staphylococcus aureus
Lineage: Bacteria; Bacillati; Bacillota; Bacilli; Caryophanales; Staphylococcaceae
Description: partial 23S ribosomal RNA
Rfam family: Bacterial large subunit ribosomal RNA
Source: RNAcentral
CCUAAGGUAGCGAAAUUCCUUGUCGGGUAAGUUCCGACCCGCACGAAAGGCGUAACGAUUUGGGCACUGUCUCAACGAGAGACUCGGUGAAAUCAUAGUACCUGUGAAGAUGCAGGUUACCCGCGACAGGACGGAAAGACCCCGUGGAGCUUUACUGUAGCCUGAUAUUGAAAUUCGGCACAGCUUGUACAGGAUAGGUAGGAGCCUUUGAAACGUGAGCGCUAGCUUACGUGGAGGCGCUGGUGGGAUACUACCCUAGCUGUGUUGGCUUUCUAACCCGCACCACUUAUCGUGGUGGGAGACAGUGUCAAGCGGGCAGUUUGACUGGGGCGGUCGCCUCCUAAAAGGUAACGGAGGCGCUCAAAGGUUCCCUCAGAAUGGUUGGAAA